AAAUCCUUUUCGGCCUUUCAUAUUUAAAUGAUUUUUAUUCAGAAACAUGUCAGAGAAUCCACUGUAAUAUUGAACGUUCAUGGCUAAUGAAUAGAACUUGCAAAGUGGCUAGUUUUGAAAUGUAAAAACAGACGACGGCCUCAAAUGAAAAAAGAAGCAGUUUACGCAAUCGUCUCUUGUUAGAAAAAUACCAUGAACUGGAGAGUUAGCAAAACUGUGGUUGUUGUCUGGUUACCCAGGUACAUUGGUAGAGGGCAAUGAAAAGGUUGAUGAAGUGGAUAAGGCCAGUACAUACCAACCUGAGGACUUCACUGCCAUCCUGCUUCCGAUGCUAAAACUGCAUUAAAAAAACAAGAGAAACUGGCAGAAUCAGGUCGGAUCCAUGGAUCCUGAAACGGCGAUUGACUGAGUGUCAUACUCCAGCAGGACAAUUCUGCAGUGGAUCUUCACACAAUCCUGUUAAAAUCGAGAAGUCUCGUCAAUUUGUUAAUUACCGUCCCUUGGUUAUUUUGGAAAUGGAUCCUCUUGGGUCAACAAGCUUUCCUCGGCUGGUAUUAUCGCAAUUAACGUAAUCAAGACUGUUGCCAUGGUCUGUUAAGAAUUAAUUAUACGGAUUUCUUUUCAACGUUAACGCAGAUUCAUUGCUUUA
Long non-coding RNA from Cimex lectularius (bed bug), 649 nucleotides. RefSeq lists it as uncharacterized. The record is from RefSeq and is a predicted model, not a curated record. Lineage: Eukaryota; Metazoa; Arthropoda; Insecta; Hemiptera; Cimicidae. The transcript is spliced from 4 exons.